RNAcentral lists this long non-coding RNA (481 nucleotides) under Ananas comosus (pineapple). Its description in RNAcentral is "long non-coding RNA (ACOM_LNC000509)". The record is from RNAcentral. Lineage: Eukaryota; Viridiplantae; Streptophyta; Magnoliopsida; Poales; Bromeliaceae.
CCUUCAUAGAGUUAUUAAAUUUGAUAAAAUUUUAGCAUAACAAAAUUAAAAUUAGAAGUUGAGGUGGUCUCAAUAAGGAAAAAAGUAAUUGUAAUACUCCAAAUAAUCCCACAUUGGAUAGAAAAAAAGUUAUGGUUGAAAAUAUAAGAGAUCUUAAACUUUAGUAAUAAUAAUCGGGCUUAAACAUUUUAGAUCAGUGGUUUAGAGACAACGAGUUAUUAUUGUUAAUAUGGAGUUGUUAUUGUUAAUAUGUCAAAUCAUUAAAUUUGUUAUCAAAGUCGAAUACCAGUUGAAAAUAUUCGUGUUUAUAACAUUAUUAUGAUUGAUUCAGUCUAUAAAAUUUAGUAAUCUUGACAAUAAAAUAUAUAGUCUAUUCCAAAAUUACGCUUAGUCAUAUUUGGCAAACUUUUUUACUAAAUUUUAUUUUAAAUAAUUUAAAAUUUUAAAUUUUAAAAUUUAAAUUUUAAAUUUGAACAUAAAU